GUGCUUGCUUCAGCAGCACAUAUACUAAAACUGGACCAGUAUAGGGAUAGCAUGGCUGUGCACAAGGAUGACAUGCAAAUUUGUGAAGCAGUCCAUAUUUUC
Small nuclear RNA from Zalophus californianus (California sea lion), 102 nucleotides. NCBI's taxonomy places the organism in Eukaryota, Metazoa, Chordata, Mammalia, Carnivora, Otariidae. The record is from Ensembl.